Molecule: long non-coding RNA, 5144 nt
Filed under: Brassica napus (rape)
Lineage: Eukaryota; Viridiplantae; Streptophyta; Magnoliopsida; Brassicales; Brassicaceae
Description: long non-coding RNA (BNAP_LNC002955)
Source: RNAcentral
ACCAUGUUCAACGAGAAUAUAUAUCAGUGAUGGACGCAUCGUCAACAGAUGUUGGAUCAGACUUGGUUGCAAUAGACUGAUCUGAAUCAAGUGGGUCUCUUUCAGGUCUGCUCUGGACGAAAAACCCUGGUUGCCGAGGCACUGGUAAAGUAACAGUGUCACUAGUGAGCAUUACAAAAAUGGUUGAAAAGGUUGGACGAUCUACAGGAUCUUCUUGAACACAUAAAAGGCCGAUAUGGAUGCAUCGAACAACUUCACUGUUAUGGCAGUUAUCAAUAAUAAUUGGAUCCACGAGGUUUAAAGCUGUUCCAUUACCCCAAAGCUUCCAAGCCUAGAAUAUCAAUCAACCAGUCAAUUCUUGAAAAAACUGUUUACUAUUGUAAAAGUGCUAAAUAUAAAGCUUGAUUGCCUUUAAACUUACAUAUGUUACCAAGUCAUGUGCACCGUCUAUCUCGUAGAAGCUGUUGUUCUUCAUACCGCUAAUAAUCUCAAGAACUAACACUCCAAAGCUAUAGACAUCAGAUUUCAUUGAGAACUGGCCAUGAAGCGCAUAUUCAGGAGACAUGUAACCGCUGGAACUCACAACAAAACUUUGGUAAAUUUGCAAAAUCAUGUUUAACAAAGUUCAUCUUACAAGAAGUUGUGUGGAAGACUUACUAGGUGCCAACUAUCUUGCUUGUGUUAUCCUGGGUUUGGUCCAUUCCAAAGAUCCUAGCCAUUCCAAAAUCAGCAACUUUCGGAUUCAUAUCCCGAUCUAGGAGAAUGUUACUUGCUUUGAGGUCACGGUGUAUAAUUGUGAGCCUUGAAUCUUGAUGGAGAUACAGAAUUCCCCGGGCAAUCCCUUCAAUGAUCUUAUAUCGUAGUGUCCAGUUCAGCUGACCAUGCUUUGCAGGGUCUGUGUGUGCACAUCGAUGGUAUUAUAGUAAACUCUAAUAAUUUGUAAUCCCAAGUUUCAAGAAUAUGGCAAAAGAAUAACUGAAACAAAACAACAAAUGUAACUGACCGAAGAGGAAGUAAUCAAGGCUUUUGUUGGGCACAUACUCGUAGACCAGUAUCCUCUCUUUUUGUUCAAGAGAAAAUCCUAGAAGCCUAACCAAAUUUCUAUGCUGGAGCUUUGCAACAACAGCAACCUCGUUCUUGAACUCUGUGUCACCUUGUCUUGAUGAUUUCGACAGUCUCUUCACCGCAACUUCAACCCCAUUCGCGAAUGUUCCCUGUCCAUUUUCAUUAGCACCAUCUUGUUAUCCAAAUGUGUUGACAUAAAUUUUCAAGAAAAAGUACAGAACCUCAUGGAAAAUUAAGGAAUAGUACCUUGUAAACCUCACCAAAUCCACCUUCACCAAUUUUAUUAUUUUCAGAAUAGUUAUUUGUUGCAGCUUGAAUAAUUACAUAAUCAAGUUGCAGUGACUCAAUGGUUGUAAUAUCAUCCCCUGUUGCACAAUAAUUCCUAGCAAUCAGAUGAGACAAAAAAACUGAUCAAUUAAGGUUGUUAUUCACUGGAAUCCUUACCAUAAAAGGCUGGUGCAUUAUCUGAAGUCUUCUUUGUCCUCUUUGCAAGGAAACAAUAACCAGCUAUGAAAAUCAAAACAGCCACUACAAUACCCACGACGAUGGCUACUGUUAACACUUUUGAAUUCUCAUGAUGUUUACCUGCGUAUUAAAAAAAAAACAUUUUCUUGAGAACGGAUAGUGUUGAAUAUUUUGAGAAACCAUAGUAAUAAAUAGAUGAAGAUAAAAGAGUUCACCAGUUCGUGUAAGAGAUGAAACCGGAGAAGUAGAGGCGGGAGGAGGUGGUAGCGGUGAUGGCUGUGGUGGCGGCGGUGCAUGUUGUUCUGGAGGUGUUCUAGUGUCGUUUUCGUUGAAGAACAAGUAAAGCUCGUACCUUGCAUUACAACUAGGCCAGAAAAGUCUACCCCCAAUUUUGUUAAGAGGAAUUCCAUCGAUGGAUUGAUGCAAGCAACGCAAACAGUCAUAUCUUGUCAGAUCAGGAGUGCACUGAACCAGGCCGUAUAAACUCUGGAGUGCUGUCCAGUUGGCUUUUAUCGUAUAGAACUUCCUAGAACUGUUAGCUGCUUUGUCGGCAGCUUGGUUCAUUGUGUUGGACACCAAAUCUUCGAACCGGUCUUCUUGAUUGGAUGAAAUAUUGCCGUUGAACAUGAAAAACCCUCCUUCGUAUACAAGCGUCGAUAGAAUAUUUCGGUGAGAGUAUCUGAGCAUGCACUCUUCGUAGUAAAGCACGACCUCUUUCUCAUUCGGACACCGAGUUAAGGUUUCGUUGACGGAGUAGGCAACGCAGCUACGACAAACUUCAGGCGAGACAUCUCCCCGGCAGAGGAAAAGUCCUGUGACCCUAUCGGGAUCGCGUCCCACCGUGGCGUUCUGGAAUCCGGUGGAGUAGGAGGCGUCUGGGGAAGAGAAAGAGGACAAAAGGGUUUUGAGAUUGGUGGAAUAAGUGCUGUUCCUUGUAUAAGUUGUUGUAUUUGAACAAGAAUGAUAUGUGUAAUGAGGAUUUUGAGCAUAAGCUCUGUAGCUAGCGAGUAAGGAGAAAAGGACAAGGAAGAUGAAAGAGGUGCAAGAAGACAUGGUUCUGACUUCUGUCAGUUGUGUUUACAUCAUGAAGCACUCAUUUAUAUAACGAAUAUAUUAUUUCUCUCUUUGUGAUUUUUGUAGAUUGCCGUGAAACGGGGGAUGAUUUGUGGAGUAACGACUACGGUAAGUCAAUCAAAGUCGUUUUAGCAAAAAAAAAAGUCAAUCAAAGUCAAAGUAAACGCUUUUUCUUCUUCUUAAUGUCACUUUUAUUAUGCAACAAAAAUAUGGACGUAUAAAGUGGGUUUUGAAGAAGUCAGACAAGAACAAGACAAGAAAAACAUAGCCUUUUCAACUUUCUCGUCUUUCUUUCCCUCUUCUCCUAUACUCUUAUUUAUGAUGUAUACAUAGACAAGUGUCUAUAUGCCUUUUUUUUUUUUUGAAACAAGACAAGUGUAUAUAUAUAUGCCUAUUCUUAUUUUUAAUGUUGAAUAACACAUAAACAUUACCUGGAGAAAAAGAACACAUUACCUGAAACAUGUUUUAACAACUUCAACGAGGAUCCAGAUCUCUAAUUAUUACAUCAUUUAUAGUAUGAGAUUUGGGCCGUAACCUAUACUGCCGUGAAUCUUGGUUGCGGCUAGUUAGAAAGAAGAAUCCAAGAGAUAGAGAAACAGAUAAAAUGACAGAGUCGAUAGUGAGCAUCGACAUGAUUGCUGACAAUUUGGGACGACCAAUAGUGAUAAUUAUUGUGUGUGAGUAUUUAGUUAUUCUAUCUCUUGUCAAUUUAAUAACGUGAACUUCGGUGUACAUUAACAAUGAAAUUACUAUUGGGUCUUGGCUUAUGGAAAGACUAUAAUCUCAGCGAGGGUUAACACUUGUAAUCGAUGCAUCAUCGACAGAACAAGCAAAAGACAUGAUACUAGACUGACCAAUUGUUAUUCAUUUGUGUUUACAUCAGGACGCUCUCAUAUCAUUUAUAUAACGAAUAUAUUUUUCCUCUUUGUGACUUUUGUAGAUUGCCGUGAAACAUGGGAUGGAUUGUGGAGUGGCGACGACGGUGAGUCAAUCAUAAGUCAAAGUAAACGUUUGUUUCUUAAAUGAAAAUUUUAUUAUACAGUACAACAAAAAUAUGAACGUAUUAAGUGGAUAAAGCCAUGUAAGAAAACUCCAACAUUUUUAGACGAAUCUGACAAGAAAAACAUAGCCUUUUAAACGUUCUUGUUUUGCUUUCCCUCUUUUUCUUUACAUGUAUGUAUGAGCUACUAUGUGACCAAGUUCCUACUAUUACUGCCUGAUUUGUGGAAGCUGCUAUUCCACUUGCCACUAAUAAUCCCCUGACAGGGUCAAACAGAGAAUUUGGGGGUUGUAGGUUUACUUUAUAUUUUUCAGAUUUUAGAGUUUAUGUCUAUCUAAUUUUCUUCAAAAAAAUUGGAGACUAUAUAUGCCAAAGCUUCAUUCAGCUUUGUUCACGACUGGCUCUGUCCAUAACUAAGACCAAAAGCUAUAUAUACAUCAGAUUUUGUGGAGUACUGGCCAUGCAUUGCAUACUCGGGGACAUAUAACCGCUGAAACAUAGAAUGAACUUGAGCAUAUAGAUGAUAAUCAAAGAUUUCAAUUCAUAGGAUUUCAAAGAGGAAAAUAAUUUACUAUAUUCCAAGUAUUCUGCUUGUAUUUUCAAGGGUUUGAUCAACCCCAAAUCCCAAUAAUCCUGGCCAUGCCAAAAUCCGCAUUUUUUCGGGUUCAAAUCAGAAUCUAAUAGAAUGUUUUUGACUUUAAGGUUGCAGUGUAUGAUUGUAAGGCUUGAAUCUUGAUGAAGAUAUAGAAUUAGCAAUCCAUGAAAUGAUCUUGUAUCUCAUUGUCCAGUUACUCCAGUCCAACUGCCUAAUUGCUUUUUAGGGUGCCGCACAUCCAUGCAUACUCCUAAAAAAUUAUGUUUUCAAUAAUGUGGAUACAUCUUCUCACUUCUACACACUGAGAAUUCUCUGAAACCUGAUCGUGUCUUACCAGUUUAAACAGAAGUCGAAGUCAAAAGUCAGUGCUUAAACUCAAUUAUAUUUUUCUUUGUUUUACAAAAAACCUUACAGAAUUCAUAUUGAAAACUAAACGAAACAUGGAGCUUGCAUCAAAUAACACCACAACCAAAUUGGCUUACAAAUGGUGUUAAUUGAUUUCAAUUUCUAUAAUAAACAGAAAAGCCAAAUUAAAACUAAACUAUAUUCGACAGCUACAAAAGUUGUUAACUUGUUUUAAAAAUACCAGUAGGUUCAAACUUUAAGGUAAAAACACCAUGUUCAACGAGAAUAUAUAUCAGUGAUGGACGCAUCGUCAACAGAUGUUGGAUCAGACUUGGUUGCAAUAGACUGAUCUGAAUCAAGUGGGUCUCUUUCAGGUCUGCUCUGGACGAAAAACCCUGGUUGCCGAGGCACUGGUAAAGUAACAGUGUCACUAGUGAGCAUUACAAAAAUGGUUGAAAAGGUUGGACGAUCUACAGGAUCUUCUUGAACACAUAAAAGGCCGAUAUGGAUGCAUCGAACAACUUCACUGUUAUGGCAGUUAUCAAUAAUAAUUGGAUCCACGAGGUUUAAAGCUGUUCCAUUACCCCAAAGCUUCCAAGC